RNAcentral lists this ribosomal RNA (253 nucleotides) under uncultured bacterium. Its description in RNAcentral is "partial 16S ribosomal RNA". It matches the Rfam family "Bacterial small subunit ribosomal RNA", at positions 524 to 776 of the family's 1533-position model. The record is from RNAcentral.
UACAGAGGUCUCAAGCGUUGUUCGGAUUCAUUGGGCGUAAAGGGUGCGUAAGUGGCGUCGUAAGUCGGGUGUGAAAUUUCGGAGCUUAACUCCGAAACUGCAUUCGAUACUGCGGUGCUUGAGGACUGGAGAGGAGACUGGAAUUUACGGUGUAGCAGUGAAAUGCGUAGAGAUCGUAAGGAAGACCAGUGGCGAAGGCGGGUCUCUGGACAGUUCCUGACACUGAGGCACGAAGGCCAGGGGAGCAAACGGG